This 72-nucleotide transfer RNA is filed under the name Phrynosoma platyrhinos (Desert horned lizard). Its description in RNAcentral is "tRNA-OTHER". The record is from RNAcentral. Lineage: Eukaryota; Metazoa; Chordata; Lepidosauria; Squamata; Phrynosomatidae.
GCCAGUAUAACAUAGUGGUUUGAGUGUUGGGCUAUGACUCUGGAGACCAAGGUUCAAUUCCUAGCUUGGCCA